RNAcentral lists this long non-coding RNA (3797 nucleotides) under Homo sapiens (human). RNAcentral's name for it is "non-protein coding lnc-SYCP1-4:2". Lineage: Eukaryota; Metazoa; Chordata; Mammalia; Primates; Hominidae. The record is from RNAcentral.
ACGCACGGACGUCCUCCCGAGGGAGGCGGGAACUCGGUUCGCGGGCGCGGAGCGGUCCCGGACCCUCGAAGCCAGUUCCUUGCGUCAGUGCCGCGGCUCUUUAACCCGAAGGGAGAUUUUUUUUUUAAAGCCAGAGGCCGUUGACGCUGGGUAGCCUUUGGCUGGGGUUGGUUAUGAACUCCGACACAGCGGUGGUGCAUACGGAAGGGUGGUAGCCGGGACGGUUCCGGUCCCUGCGAGCGUGUCCCGGGCGUCUCCGCGGAAGUUUCACCUGCCGCGCCGCUCGAUCGCCGGGACCUCCUGGGUCUCUGCUGUGCGUAGACCAGCCGCGUUCCUUUGGGUGGCCGUGGAGCACUAAAGCGGGGCUUAUUGUUUGUUUGGUUUUGGUUUUUUUUUUUGUUUUUUUUUUGCUUUUUGUUUUUGAACUGAGGAUCUAUCAGAAAUAGGCUGAAAAGACCGAGUGAGGAAGAAACUCUUUAACAGCUAUUUUUGGCAUCUUAAGGUGAUUCUCAGGAGUUGCUACGUAUCAGAAUCAACGGAGGAGUUUUUCAAAGCAGAGAUGCCAGGGCCAGUCCCCAGACCUGAAUCAGGAAGUGAGGGAGAGAGCCGACGGAGGGGGAAAAGUCCCUUCAGCUGAUUCUUAUGUAUGUCAGUUUGGAGAGCCACGGAUAUAACCAAUACUGCGUCCUUCUGAGGUCCCACUUUAAGUGUCCUGGGUUGAGCUGGGUGACAAAUGCCCUUACAACAAUGGUAGUAGAAGCUUUCAGGCCAAGCGCAGUGGCUCACGCCUGUAAUCCCAGCACUUUGGGAGGCCGAGGCGGGCAGAUCACUUGAGGUCAGGUCAGGAGUUCGUGGGCAGCCUGGCCAAUAUGGUGAAACCCCGUCUCUACUAAAAAUAUAAAAAUUAGCCGGGUGUAAUGGCGUGCGCCUGUAAUCCGAGCUACUCAGGAGGCUGAGGCAGGAGAAUGGCUUGAACCCGGCAGGAGGCGGAGGCUGCAGUGAGCCGAGAUAGCGCCACUACACUCCAGCCUGGGCGACAGAGCGAAACUCCGUCUCAAAAAAAAAAGAAAAGCUUUCAGAAAGUUGCCUUUUUAUUUGAAAAAAAAAAAAAGGUAUUUGGAGGAUUUUAUGUAGUGCAACAACUGUUUUAGUGUUAAGAUCAUGAAAUGCUUUGGUCUCCUGUUAGUGUUCCCAAGAAAGGUGCUGUAAGUCCUUAAACCACGUGAAAACUUUUUUUUUUUUUGAGACCUCCUCGUUCUGUCGCCCUGGCUGGAGUGCAGUGGCGUCAUCACAUUUCAUUGCAGCCUCGACUUCCCAGGCUCAAGCCGUGCUCCUCGCAAUUACCUGGGACCGUAGAUGCACGCCACCAUGACUUAGCUGAUCUUUUUUUUCCCUUUGCCUCGAAGAGGCUGGGGUCUCACCAUGUUGCCCAGGCUGAAACUCCUGGGCCCGAGCGAUUGGCCCGCCUCAGCCGCUGGAAAUGCUAGCAUUACAGGCAUGAGCCACUGCGCCCAGCCUCCUGAAAACUUUUUAAAAUUUAUUCAAAAAUGUUUCCUGACCUCUUUAUUGUCAUAGUGUUUUAGAGAUACACUGGGAUUACAAAACAGAGGAGCUCCCUGCAUUCAAGGGGUUUACAAUCUAAUAGAGAAAAAGAUUGAGAAUAGAUACAUGCCAGGGAGUGGUAAGUGCUGUGAAGAAAAGAAUAAGUGGGGUAAAAGGGGUUAGAGGUGAUUGAAGAAGGCCCCUGUUGAUCAGAUGAAGGAACCUGUCUUGGAGAAGAGCAGGAGAGGAACACAUAACAAGUGCAAAGGGCCUGAGGGAAACGGAUUCUUGGCUUGUUAGAGGAGGAGUCAGUGUGGCUGGAGUGGCUUGAACAAGGGAGAGAAUAGUAGGACAUGAGAUAAGAGAGUUAUUAAGGGAGCCAGGUCAUGUACAGAAAUGGUCUUCAAUUUUUUUUUUAACUUUUGUGCCCUUUGAAAGAAUUUUGGAAGGCUGUUUUCUUUCCUCAAACAUUGAUGGAAACAGCCCCCAUGAAGUUCACUGUGUGCUCUGAGAAGGCAGUGCCUGGAGUAUAACUCAUGAAAUAUUUAGGAUCAUUGAAACAGACCCAGUUACAUCCUUGAUUUUCUGUGGGAGCCCAGAAAUCUUGCAGGAGAAACUAUGAAAUAAGUCCACAGAUGAGGCUGAGAUACGAUAAUGCACAAACCUGUCUAAUAGACUGCAUAGCAUGGGGUUCAUUAUGCCCUGGGACAAAAUGCUUGGUUUGAAUCUGGUUCCAUCACCUACUAGCUAUGUGAUUUAGGGAAACUUACUUAGGUUGCCUCAGUUCCCUCAGUCAUGAAAGGGUGUUUGCUACGGGUAGGACCUACCUCAAGGUUGCCUCACAAACAAUAUUUGUAAAACGUUAAUAACAGCACCCAGCACAUGGUGAACAUGGAUGUUAAAGUAGACCCAAAGUUCCCUGAAGGAAACAGAACUGGCAGGAGAAACACAUGCCACUGAGAGAAAAUUUCAAGAAGAGGAAUCAUGCUGUGGCCCAAACUGAGCAGCAGGUAGAGGUAGAGGCUGUGUCCAGCCAUUUUCCUGACCUAGGCUACUAUCCCUUGUUCCUCUGGUUUGAGCAUUAUCAGAAAAAACCAGUUCUGAAAUAAAGGAAAGAGCUCUUAGGAGGUUCAUAGCAGUUCUGCUAUGAAGAAAACUCCUCUAAGUUGCUGGUAAACAAUAGUGGAAGGAGUUUUCCAGUUGUCUAGGAAAGAGAAAGGGCAUUGGAGGUGAGUGACCCAGGUAGGUAAGCAAUGGUGAGAACACGAUGUGUCCAUCAUCUGGGCACAGGAGGUUGGCAAAAGCAAGGCAGUAGCCCAAGGGUAGCGUGAAGAUUUGCAAAGGCUGGUCUGCACCUUCUGGACAGAGCAGCCAUGCUGAACAGCAGGAACAGAAGAGUACAUGAGAACCGGCAGAAGGAUGCUGAGCUGCAGCUGAAAUCUGGGAUAUUUCUGUAAAUGUACAAUACUUGCACUCACCAAUGGGUGAGGCCAGAGGAUCUAAAGGUGACAUUUUAUCUUUUAAAGUUCACUUCUCAACUGGGUGUGGUGCCUUACACCUGUAAUACCAGCACUUUGGAGGAAAACAGGAGGAUCACUGGAGGCCAGUAGUUCAAGACCAGCCUGGGCGACAUAGCAAGACCCCCAUCUCUACAAAAAAAAUUUAUUAAUACAAAUUUUAAAAAUAAUGUAAAGUUUAGUUCUCAUCAUUCCAUGGUGUACCAAGUACACUUUGACUUCUAGGUACUCUGUUGUCUGAGUGAGAACUAUUAGUACCAAGAAAAGCAGGACAGAUAGCAGAGUUCUGAGUCUAAUUACUAUCUAUUGGCUUUUCUGUGUCUCUAAGGCCUUUCAGGGGCACGUUGUAAUUCUAGUAAUAAACACCACAUUUGAACAGCAGUUUACAGUUGACAAAGUGCUUUCACACACAUCUCUUAAUUUUUGCAACCAGUAAAAUAUAGCUCAACAAUAAAUAGACUUCCUUAUGUGAAUGUACUGUAAUGUAUUAUCUAUUCAUAGACAAUAAGGUUUUCAAUUUUUUACUAUUAUAAACAAUACUGUGAAAAGCAUUGUGAUGCAUAAUUAUUUGCAUAUCUAUAAUUAUUUCUUCUGAAUAUUCCUAAAAGAAUUGCUGAUUCAAAGAAUAUGCCCAUUGUAAAAGUUUUUAAUAUGUAAAUUUAAAGUAUUCCAUAUGGAUUAUUAAAUUGUUUUGAUGUAUUUUGCUACUAUAAAUAAAAAAGUGAAAUUAACAUGCAA